This is a long non-coding RNA of Melanotaenia boesemani (Boeseman's rainbowfish), 2396 nucleotides long. RefSeq lists it as uncharacterized. The record is from RefSeq and is a predicted model, not a curated record. Lineage: Eukaryota; Metazoa; Chordata; Actinopteri; Atheriniformes; Melanotaeniidae. The transcript has 5 exons.
UGCAUUCUAGAUUUUUCUUAUGUGGGUUGCCUUCAGUUAGUCAUGGUUGUGAUCACUGCUGAAAUGUUCCUUUGUUCAUCUUCACUGAGUGAUGUAAUGCAAAAUGGGCCCCUUUUGUAGGCACAGCUGGAAACGUGUCAAGCUUCUACCUGAGUGAGAAGAGUGUCUGCUUGUUCAGUUCAAUCACUGAAACAAAACAGUUUUCAGAUAUCCAGCACCUGAAGCAUAACAGACACCUGGAGAACCCUAAAGCAAUCUAAUAUCAACAGUAUAUGUGUUGGGGCGCUUGGGUUGUCUUCUUUGCCUCUGGUGCGGCUUGUCCACCCAUUCAUUUAUUUCUUCACACUCCUUCCACUUUUCACUCCCUAAGAGAUGGAAACCCCUAAUCAACCAAGAAGCAUCGACUUCCGCCUGACUACCUGCAGGGAUACGCAGUGCCACAGCCAUGGUACCUGCGUGCCUCCUCAAGGUGGUGGUACCAGUCUGGUGUGUGACUGUGACCUGGGCUACCAGGGUGAGUUCUGUGAUAGCACAGUCAAUGGAGCAUUGAGUGUGCCGCUGUGCAUCAGUGUGCUGGCUGUCAUCAUUGGACUGCUGAUUCUCUCUUUCAUCAUCGCUAAGUUGCGACAGAGACAAAAGAAAACUUACAGGAGACGUCUGGCAACACAAUGUAGCUACAGAAUCGCUGUUUAAUGUGGACAUUAAACUAUAUCUAAGGUCUGCAGUGGUGAUAUGAACAUGUGAUACGACUGCCGCAGUUUGAGCGUGAAUCUUGGAUGCAAUCUCCUUUUCUACGCUUGACAGCUGAUGAGUGAAUUCUAAUGUUUGGCUUUUUCUGCAGCAUCUCAAAGACUAAAUUCCUGAACUAGCAAGCUGAAACACCAUGACUGAUCAGUCAGUUUAUUCCUUCCAGCUAGAGGCAACGCCCUGUUUGCACCUCCUGUUGAUACUGCUGAACUCGGUCAUAGUGCUUGAAGAGGAAAACUGGAGUUCUGUUUUUCAUAUAUCCUCUAAUAAUGAAGAAAAAAGAAAAAAAAAUACAGCAUCCCCAUAGAAAUCAUUCAUCAAAGGCAGAUUUUCUGUAUGUAUCCUGCCAAGUCUGUAGUUAAUUUUGAUUAACUUUGCAAGCCUUGUAGAUACAGUAUGGACCUUUAGCAGAUACAUUUAUGCAGUUUACAACAUGAUUAUUAGCAUACAAGUCACUGCCCAUAUUUGCACAACUGUACCCAUCACUAUGUGCAUUGGACUGUAGGCCAUGUUGACUUUUCUCCGCAGCAAAUACUUAUACUAAUGAUAACAUAGUUUAUCUUUUAAAUAUGCGAUGACACAAGUUGUACUCUGCCUUUUUACUUAAGUGAAUGUGUACUUUCUGUUGUGCGUUCUUUUUUCACAGUUCAGCUACUCUACAGGGAGCUAAAAUGUUUCAUCUGAUUCUGUAAUUUUUUAAAAAUUUUAUUUAUAAAACAAAUUCCUUAACCCAGUCUUGUCAGAGAUUACUGUAAUCUUGCACUUUAGGUAGUUGCUGCUUUUUGUGUCAACAUUAUUUCAAACCUCUGAAUUUUUUUUUUUUUCUUUUUGUUCAAAAUCAAACUAUUUUGCUGUACAAAUACAAACGCUUCUAUUGCAUACAACACUGACUUUUUUUUAGAUCAUUAUGUCAGCAAGAGUGCCUCUCUGCUAUUAAACCUCAGUUUCCACACCACAUAUUCAAAAGGUUGGAGAGUUGGCAAGCACAAAAUAAUCCCACACAGCUGUGGACAGUGUCAUUAAAGCAGUAAGUGCUGAUUCAGAGCAUGAGCGCAACCUGAAAUUGAAUGUAAUGAAAAUAAUAGGUGUCUUCUGGUUCUCAGCUUGCAGACUGGUCAGAUUUACUGAAUCACAAGCUGUCCACUCAGUCAUAGCUUCAUAGCAGUCAUAUGCCAGACUUGGCCCAUUGUGAGAAAUAAAGUUAUUUUAGGUAUUUCUUGGCCAGUGUUAAGUUUUUUUUUGUUUGUUUGUUGUUUUGUUUUUUUGUGCUGCAGCAUCUCUUCCUCCUUGCGCUCUGCUAAAUGAAACAUGUAGACUUUAACCUUUUUUUCCUGAUAAUGACAAAGAGCAGUGCUGAGCUUGCUUUUAUUAUAUUGUUCUCAUUUUUUAUAAUUAUCCAUGUAGUCCUAGCUGAAUGUAACCACUAGGCAUUGCUUCUCUAGUUAUGUAAACUUGCACUGCAUGUCUAGAAAUUUGAAGAAAAUUAUGGGCUAAAUGUGUGAAUAAUUGCAUUUUUCUGUUUAAAUGGACUGGAAAUGUUGAGUAGUAGUUAGUUAUAUAGUAGAUGAGUCAUUGUUUGCAAAACAUCAAAGAAAAUCAAAGUUUUGUUAAUGUUUCAUUAUGCUCUCAGUAAAUCAACAAAAUAUUGA